Molecule: transfer RNA, 77 nt
Filed under: Clostridia bacterium
Lineage: Bacteria; Bacillati; Bacillota; Clostridia
Also listed under: 1 other name
Description: tRNA-Arg
Rfam family: tRNA
About the family: Transfer RNA (tRNA) molecules are approximately 80 nucleotides in length.
Source: RNAcentral
GUGCCUUUAGCUCAGCAGGAUAGAGCAACUGCCUUCUAAGCAGUAGGUCAGGGGUUCGAAUCCCUUAAGGCACGCCA